AUGGCGGGAAACUCGGUGAAUCUGCCUCAUGCAACUAGAAGAAGAAGUACUUUGGCUUUCAAGUUCCUGAUACCCUUCGUUCUAGUUCUUUCAGUUUCUGUUAUUGCUGUCACCCAGUACUUCCAAAGUAUCUCCUACUUUCUGCGGCCGCUGUGGGACACACCACCAAAGCCCUUCUCCCGUAUCCCGCACUACUAUGCCCCUAACAUGUCCAUGGACCAGCUGUGUCAGCUCCAUGGCUGGGGCAUUCUCUCCUUCCCUCGCCGUGUCUUUGAUGCUGUUCUCUUCAGCAAUGAGCUCGAUAUUCUGGAAAUCCGCUACCAUGAGCUCUUUCCGUAUGUUGACAGGUUUGUCAUCCUUGAAGCGAAUGCUACCUUCACUGGCAUCCCAAAGUCACUCACCUUCUUUGAAAACCUCAACCGUUUCGCAUUUGCUAGCUCAAAGAUUGUCUAUGACAUGCUUCCCAUUGGAGAUUUGGAUCCUGAUUCUCGCCGAAUGCCCUUCCUUGUAGAAGCCGGUCACCGCCGUGCACUUAACAACCUGCUAAAAAGAUCAGGCAUUGCUGUGGGGGAUGUCUUGAUCAUGGCUGAUGCCGAUGAGAUCCCCAGUCCUGAAACCGUGCAGUUGCUGAAGUGGUGUGAUGGAAUACCGCCAAUCAUGCAUCUCGAGCUAAAAAACUAUAUGUACUCCUUUGAAUUUCAUGUGGAUCAAAACAGCUGGAGAACGACAGCGCAUGUGUUCACCGAGCGGACCAAGUAUCAACACUCCCGCCAGACCGACCUGAUGCUGGCCGACGCGGGCUGGCACUGCAGCUUCUGCUUCAGGGAGAUCAAGGAGUUUGCUUUCAAGAUGAAGGCAUACAGCCAUGCAGACCGGGUGAAACAUGACAUCUUCCUGAACCCUGACAGGAUCCAGAGAGUCAUAUGCAAUGGGGAUAACAUUUUUGACAUGCUACCUGAGGAGUACACGUUUAGUGAUCUCUUCAAGAAGAUGGGGCGGAUACCGAGGUCAGCGUCCGCUGUUCAUCUUCCAUCCUAUUUGAUCAGGAACGCGGACAGCUACAGGUUCUUACUUCCUGGUGGGUGCUUGAGACCGGGCUAA
This 1101-nucleotide ribosomal RNA is filed under the name Triticum aestivum (bread wheat). RNAcentral's name for it is "partial small subunit ribosomal RNA". The record is from RNAcentral. Lineage: Eukaryota; Viridiplantae; Streptophyta; Magnoliopsida; Poales; Poaceae.